RNAcentral lists this ribosomal RNA (1246 nucleotides) under metagenome. Its description in RNAcentral is "bacterial LSU rRNA". It matches the Rfam family "Bacterial large subunit ribosomal RNA", at positions 1564 to 2818 of the family's 2925-position model. The record is from RNAcentral.
UGAGUACGAGAUGCUACGGCAUCGAAGCAGUCUAUGUCAUACUUCCAAGAAAAGCUUGCAAUGUCAUAAACAAAUAAUGCCUGUACCAUAACCGACACAGGUGGGUAGGUAGAGUAUACUAAGGGGCGCGAGAUAACUCUCUCUAAGGAACUCGGCAAAAUGACUCCGUAACUUCGGGAGAAGGAGUGCCUUAUUUUUAUAAGGUUGCAAUAACAAGAUCCAAGCAACUGUUUACCAAAAACACAGGUCUCCGCUAAGUCGUAAGACGAUGUAUGGGGGCUGACGCCUGCCCAGUGCCAGAAGGUUAAAGAAGUUGGUUAGCAUUAGCGAAGCUGAUAACUGAAGCCCUGGUGAACGGCGGCCGUAACAAUAAUGGUCCUAAGGUAGCGAAAUUCCUUGUCGGGUAAGUUCCGACCCGCACGAAAGGCGUAAUGAUUUGGAUACUGUCUCGGAGAGGGGCUCGGUGAAAUAGACUUGUCUGUGAAGAUGCGGACUACCUGCACCUGGACAGAAAGACCCUAUGAAGCUUUACUGUAACUUGAGAUUGAAAUUGGACUUUAUCUGCGCAGUAUAGGUGGGAGACGUUGAAAAUAUUCUUGCGGGAAUAUUGGAGUCAUCAGUGAGAUACCACUCUUAUAAUGUUAGAUUUCUAACUUUGUAUCAUUAUCUGGUCAAAGAACAGUUUCAGGCGGGCAGUUUGACUGGGGCGGUCGCCUCCCAAACGGUAACGGAGGCGCACAAAGGUUUCCUCUGAACGUGUAGAAAUCGUAUCUAGAGUGUAAAGGCAUAAGGAAGCUUGACUGUGAGACCUACAAGUCGAGCAGGGACGAAAGUCGGUCUUAGUGAUCUGACGGUGCUGAGUGGAAAGGCCGUCACUCAACGGAUAAAAGUUACUCUAGGAUAACAGGCUGAUCUCCCCCAAGAGUUCACAUCGACGGGGAGGUUUGGCACCUCGAUGUCGGCUCAUCGCAUCCUGGGGCGGUAGUACGUCCCAAGGGUUGGGCUGUUCGCCCAUGAAAGCGGUACGCGAGCUGGGUUCAGAACGUCGUGAGACAGUUCGGACCAUAUCCGGUGUAGGCGUUAGAAUAUUGAGAGGAGCCUUCUUUAGUACGAGAGGACCGAGAAGGACGUACCUCUGGUGUACCAGUUAUCGUGCCAACGGUAAACGCUGGGUAGCCAUGUAUGGAGAGGAUAACCGCUGAAAGCAUCUAAGUGGGAAGCCCACCUCAAGAUAAGUAUUCUCAUC